UACGUAGGGGGCUAGCGUUGUCCGGAAUCAUUGGGCGUAAAGAGCGUGUAGGCGGCCCGGUAAGUCCGCUGUAAAAGUCAAAGGCUCAACCUUUGAAUGUCAGUGGAUACUGCCGGGCUAGAGUCCGGAAGAGGCGAGUGGAACUCCUGGUGUAGCGGUGGAAUGCGCAGAUAUCAAGAAGAACACCAACGGCGAAGGCAGCUCGCUGGGACGGUACUGACGCUGAGACGCGAAAGCGUGGGGAGCGAACAGG
This 253-nucleotide ribosomal RNA is filed under the name uncultured bacterium. Its description in RNAcentral is "partial 16S ribosomal RNA". It matches the Rfam family "Bacterial small subunit ribosomal RNA", at positions 524 to 776 of the family's 1533-position model. The record is from RNAcentral.